CCUACGGGAGGCAGCAGUGGGGAAUAUUGCUCAAUGGGGGAAACCCUGAAGCAGCAACGCCGCGUGGAGGAUGAAGGUUUUCGGAUUGUAAAGCCCUUUUUUUAGAGAAGAUAAUGACGGUAUCUAACGAAUAAGCACCGGCUAACUCCGUGCCAGCAGCCGCGGUAAUACGGAGGGUGCAAGCGUUAUUCGGAAUUACUGGGCGUAAAGAGCGCGUAGGCGGGAUAGCAAGUCAGAUGUGAAAUCCUAUGGCUUAACCAUAGAACUGCAUUUGAAACUGUUAUUCUAGAGUAUGGGAGAGGUAGGUGGAAUUCUUGGUGUAGGGGUGAAAUGCGUAGAGAUCAAGAGGAAUACUCAUUGCGAAGGCGGCCUGCUGGAACAAAACUGACGCUGAUGCGCGAAAGCGUGGGGAGCAAACAGGAUUAGAUACCCCAGUAGUC
This 440-nucleotide ribosomal RNA is filed under the name uncultured bacterium. Its description in RNAcentral is "partial 16S ribosomal RNA". It matches the Rfam family "Bacterial small subunit ribosomal RNA", at positions 338 to 795 of the family's 1533-position model. The record is from RNAcentral.